GGCUGAAAUUCGCCUUCAUGAAGCCGGAAUUGCUAGUAAUGGCAGGUCAGCAUACUGCCGUGAAUACGUUCCCGGGCCUUGUACACACCGCCCGUCACACCAUGAGAGUUGGGAAUACCCGAAGCCUGUGAGCUAACUUAUAGAGGCAGCAGUCGAAGGUAGAAUCAAUGAUUGGGGUGAAGUCGUAACAAGGUACC
RNAcentral lists this ribosomal RNA (197 nucleotides) under uncultured bacterium. Its description in RNAcentral is "partial 16S ribosomal RNA". It matches the Rfam family "Bacterial small subunit ribosomal RNA", at positions 1303 to 1500 of the family's 1533-position model. The record is from RNAcentral.